AGUGGGAUUGCUAGGUCAAACGGUGAUUCCAUUUUAUGUUUUUUGAUGAAUCUCCACACUGCUUUCCAUAAUGGUUGUACCAAUUUGCAGCCCCACCAGCAAU
RNAcentral lists this microRNA precursor (103 nucleotides) under Marmota monax (woodchuck). Lineage: Eukaryota; Metazoa; Chordata; Mammalia; Rodentia; Sciuridae. The record is from RNAcentral.